This is a long non-coding RNA of Girardinichthys multiradiatus, 1479 nucleotides long. RefSeq lists it as uncharacterized. Lineage: Eukaryota; Metazoa; Chordata; Actinopteri; Cyprinodontiformes; Goodeidae. The record is from RefSeq and is a predicted model, not a curated record. The transcript is spliced from 3 exons.
UAAGGGCAAUUUAGAGAGACCAAUUAACCUAACAGUCAUGUUUUCAGACUGUGGGAGGAAGCCGGAGUACCCGGUGAGAACCCACGCAUGCACAGAGAGAACAUGCAAAAUCCAUGCAGAAAGCUGACAAGUCCAACCUAGGACCUUCUUGCUGCAACGCAACAGUGCAACGAACUAACUCAUUAUGCACAGUGAAACAAGUCCUGUACCACCUUGGGCUGAAAGGCUACUCAUUGAGGAAGAACCGCUCAAUUCGAAACAACAAAAAAAGACAUGAUUUUCAAAUGCAUUCUGGGAGAAAAAAACAUGUCCUGUGGUCUGGUAAAACUAAAACUCAAGUAUUUGGCCUAAUAGACCAGUUUUACAUUUGGAGGAUACAUGGUAAGACUUGCAAGCUGUUGAACACCAUUCCAACUGUGAAGUACGUGUAUGCCAGCAUCAUGCUGUAAAUGGUGUUUUGGAGCAGAAGUGACUGGUGCACUUCACAAAAUAGAUGGGUAGGAAAGAAAAAUACAUGAAAAUAUGUAAGCAACAUCUAAGGAAAUCAUCCAGGAAGUUAAGGUGUGGGGACAAAUUCAUAUUCCAAAUGAACACUGUCCAUAAGCAUACCACCAAAUUGAUUACAAAGUGCCUGAAGCAAAUCAAAGUCUAAAGUGUGGUGUCCAUCACAAAUCCAUGAUUAUAGUUCCAUUGAGAAUUUGAAUGACAAUAAGGUGCGUGUGAACAAGACAGUCAAAAAAUGUGGCUCAGUUACACCGGUUGUAAUGAGGAAUGGGCCAAAAUUCCUGCAAACUAUUGGGAAAAGCAUUUGGAAAGAUGCCUAAAUGUUUGACCGAAGUCAUCCAGUUUAAAAAGUAAUUCCAUAAAACACUUGGGAAAAGGGGAAAAGCUUUUGAUUCAAUAUAAAGUUAAAUAUAUUUUGAAAAACUGAAUAUCUGUUGGGGCUUGGGAGUUUGGGUUUCCUUCCCUUGUUUAACCACCAGAUGUCGCCGCGGAGCUGGAGGGGUAGACCCGGUGACAGGUUUUUUCAGAUCUGCUGCUGAUGGUGCCUGCCUGACAAGGAAUAUUUAGGAGCCCGCCGCCAGUCCUUCGUUGCCUGAGUUUUGUGCCAACGUGUGAUUCUACCUGUGAGGUGUGGGGGGAUCAAAGGCUACCCCGGACAGGAAACCUAAAACCUACAAGACAGACAAUUCAGUCCUCUGGUUAUCCGAAACCUGACUGGCGGUUGGGCUCCCGAUCACAACAACCCUGUGGUGGUCAGUAAGACUGUCAACCUUUGGAAGAAACACAAUCUGCCCUAUUACUGGACAUCUCCCGGGCUCCUGCUCCCAAGGCCCCGAUUUAGGAAGUGCCCCCCUGCUCCAAACAUCCCUGGCAACAAAAGUUACCGAGAAGCUAGGUGAACCCGCCAGCAAGACCUGAACGAUGUUCUCUGCGCACCCCUGAACGCGGCCAGAUAAAUAAACCUGUUAAACUGUU